This 484-nucleotide ribosomal RNA is filed under the name uncultured bacterium. Its description in RNAcentral is "partial 16S ribosomal RNA". It matches the Rfam family "Bacterial small subunit ribosomal RNA", at positions 30 to 507 of the family's 1533-position model. The record is from RNAcentral.
AUUGAACGCUGGCGGCAGGCCUAACACAUGCAAGUCGAGCGGAUGAAGGGAGCUUGCUCCUGGAUUCAGCGGCGGACGGGUGAGUAAUGCCUAGGAAUCUGCCUGGUAGUGGGGGAUAACGUCCGGAAACGGGCGCUAAUACCGCAUACGUCCUGAGGGAGAAAGUGGGGGAUCUUCGGACCUCACGCUAUCAGAUGAGCCUAGGUCGGAUUAGCUAGUUGGUGGGGUAAAGGCUUACCAAGGCGACGAUCCGUAACUGGUCGGAGAGGAUGAUCAGUCACACUGGAAGUGAGACACGGUCCAGGCUCCUACGGGAGGCAGCAGUGGGGAAUAUUGGACAAUGGGCGGAAGCCUGGUCCAGCCGGGCCGCGUGUGUGAAGAAGGUCUUCGGAUUGUAAAGCACUUUAAGUUGGGAGGAAGGGCAGUAAGUUAAUACCUUGCUGUUUUGACGUUACCAACAGAAUAAGCACCGGCUAACUUCGUG